ACGUAGGGUGCGAGCGUUAAUCGGAAUUACUGGGCGUAAAGCGUGCGCAGGCGGCUAUGCAAGACAGGUGUGAAAUCCCCGGGCUUAACCUGGGAACUGCACUUGUGACUGCAUGGCUAGAGUGCGUCAGAGGGAGGUGGAAUUCCGCGUGUAGCAGUGAAAUGCGUAGAGAUGCGGAGGAACACCGAUGGCGAAGGCAGCCUCCUGGGAUGACACUGACGCUCAGACGCGAAAGCAUGGGGAGCGAACGG
This 251-nucleotide ribosomal RNA is filed under the name uncultured prokaryote. Its description in RNAcentral is "partial 16S ribosomal RNA". It matches the Rfam family "Bacterial small subunit ribosomal RNA", at positions 525 to 775 of the family's 1533-position model. The record is from RNAcentral.